AUACUCUGGUUUUUCUUCAGAUCGCAUAAAUCUUUCGCCUUUUACUAGAGAUUUCCAUAGAGGAUGUUUUCUUGGCAGACUUUUACAAGAUGGUUUGCCAUUGCCUUCCCCAGUCAU
This is a small nuclear RNA of Heteronotia binoei (common prickly gecko), 117 nucleotides long. RefSeq annotates it as U5 spliceosomal RNA. Lineage: Eukaryota; Metazoa; Chordata; Lepidosauria; Squamata; Gekkonidae. The record is from RefSeq and is a predicted model, not a curated record. The transcript has a single exon.